RNAcentral lists this ribosomal RNA (406 nucleotides) under uncultured bacterium. RNAcentral's name for it is "partial 16S ribosomal RNA". It matches the Rfam family "Bacterial small subunit ribosomal RNA", at positions 30 to 526 of the family's 1533-position model. The record is from RNAcentral.
AUUGAACGCUGGCGGCAUGCUUUACACAUGCAAGUCGGACGAGUGGCGAACGGGUGAGUAACGCAUAGGCACGUACCGAGUAAUGGGGGAUAACUGUCCGAAAGGACAGAUAAUACCGAAUAUUAUUCGGGCGGCCGAUGUCUGAUUAGCUGGUUGGCGGGGUAAAGGCCCACCAAGGCGCCGAUCAGUAGUGGGUCUGAGAGGAUGAUCCGCCACACUGGGACUGAGACACGGCCCAGACUCCUACGGGAGGCAGCAGUGGGGAAUUUUGGACAAUGGGCGCAAGCCUGAUCUAGCCAUGCCGCGUGUCUGAAGAAGGCCUUCGGGUUGUAAAGGACUUUUGUCAGGGAAGCGGUACCUGAAGAAUAAGCACCGGCUAACUACGUGCCAGCAGCCGCGGUAAUAC